AACGGAUGUGUUAAAAUAAAAUGGAAAUCUACAAGUUAACUGUUUGUGUAAAAUAUUACAAAUGACUGGUUCGAAAUUAUCAAAAUCGUAUUUCUAGUCUAAUAUAGCAUGGUCAAAGCUUUUACGCAUCUAUUAAUACUAGAACCUGAUUCGUUUAGAGAAAGUUAUGUCAACAACGUUAAGACCGUUAAAAUACAUGAUAUGACAUUUACUUCGACAAAUGGAUUCAUGCAGUUUCAGAUCCAGAUCAGUCGAUUACGAAGGGAUCUCGUUUUAAAUAUAGACAAAAAUCACUUACCAUUCAACUAAUGACUAAAUUAAUUCAAAGUGAUUGUUAUGAUUUACUAUAUGAUUUCGUAGAAGAAACGGUUUUGAUGCAGCAAUGAUAAUAUUCAACAGUUAUCCCUUAUGUCUAUUGAAAAACGAUCAAACUAAUUUUGUUUUAUCGAUAAUUCGUACAGCAUUGUUCGAAAACAUUCAAAUCAGAUAAAACGCUUCUUUUGAAAGCAAACCACUUGUCAAAGAUAAUGGUGUUUUUAGGAUUCGAUAAAAUACAUCAUGAUGAAUAAGUAAACGCCAGCUCACCGAACACGAAAAACAUAAUCAACGAUAUUGAAGAU
Molecule: long non-coding RNA, 620 nt
Organism: Sipha flava (yellow sugarcane aphid)
Lineage: Eukaryota; Metazoa; Arthropoda; Insecta; Hemiptera; Aphididae
Exons: 5
Source: RefSeq, a predicted model, not a curated record